This 467-nucleotide ribosomal RNA is filed under the name uncultured bacterium. RNAcentral's name for it is "partial 16S ribosomal RNA". It matches the Rfam family "Bacterial small subunit ribosomal RNA", at positions 28 to 506 of the family's 1533-position model. The record is from RNAcentral.
GACGAACGCUGGCGGCGUGCUUAACACAUGCAAGUCGAACGGAAAGGCCCUGCUUUUGUGGGGUGCUCGAGUGGCGAACGGGUGAGUAACACGUGAGUAACCUGCCCUUGACUUUGGGAUAACUUCAGGAAACUGGGGCUAAUACCGGAUAGGAGCUCCUGCUGCAUGGUGGGGGUUGGAAAGUUUCGGCGGUUGGGGAUGGACUCGCGGCUUAUCAGCUUGUUGGUGGGGUAGUGGCUUACCAAGGCUUUGACGGGUAGCCGGCCUGAGAGGGUGACCGGCCACAUGGGGACGGAGAUACGGCCCAGACUCCUACGGGAGGCAGCAGUGGGGAAUAUUGCACAAGGGGCGGAAGCCUGAUGCAGCAACGCCGCGUGCGGGAUGACGGCCUUCGGGUUGUAAACCGCUUUCGCCUGUGACGAAGCGUGAGUGACGGUAAUGGGUAAAGAAGCACCGGCUAACUACGU